CAAAAAGGAGUGUGUGUUCCUGGUAUUGAGCCAUGUGGGCAGAUGUUUAUUUUUUCAGCAAUUCUCUGGCAAAAACCGCAACAAGACAGCACGAGUGCACGCCGAGUUUUCCAGCAGCCGCCGACCAACGAAGAUGCGGAGAGCGACGCAACUUGCAGCCUUUUCAGAGGGAGAGCAGCCGAACCCAGAUGGAGACAAGUUAUGCAACCUGCUCAGCGCCCGUGCUCAGAUGGUGAUUCACCUUUCACCAACAAAUGUGGACGAAACUGAUUGGACGCAAAGGGAGAAUGCUGCCGCAAGCGGAAUUUAAAGUUUAACCAAUGACACUGCACUUUGAUGGCCGGUGAGCGCCAACAAUGAUCCUCAGUCGUCAGCACCCAUUUUGGGGCGGAAACAACAAAAGGAACAGCGCGCGGCUUGGCGACAAGAGAAGAGACGACAGGACCGACGGCGCGGGAAGAUUUAGCCUCGAGGCGCGUUUCGAAUGCCAAGCCACAGAAAAUUCAACGCUAGAGAAUGGCUCGUUAGACUUUAAAAGCGCUCUUCAAGACCACAAAACGGUCUUAACGACAAAAUUUUAGUUGUAUUAUGUGACUUAAUUCUCUUCACGGCUGUCUGUCUUUAAAGAAAUUGAUUGAAGUAGAUCUCGCGACGAAGA
This is a long non-coding RNA of Cloeon dipterum, 658 nucleotides long. RefSeq lists it as uncharacterized. The record is from RefSeq and is a predicted model, not a curated record. Lineage: Eukaryota; Metazoa; Arthropoda; Insecta; Ephemeroptera; Baetidae. The transcript has 4 exons.